CAGGACACACGGUUCGAUUUGCAUUUCAGACAAGCCACAGAUCUUGUUAGUAUAAGUAUACCCUUUAAAAUACUUGGGACAUACUUAUACCAAAAAUUAUUCACUGUUUAUCUGAAAUUAAAAUCGAACUGUGAAUCCU
This 139-nucleotide microRNA precursor is filed under the name Tupaia belangeri (northern tree shrew). Its description in RNAcentral is "miRNA (ENSTBEG00000020190.1)". The record is from RNAcentral. Lineage: Eukaryota; Metazoa; Chordata; Mammalia; Scandentia; Tupaiidae.